RNAcentral lists this ribosomal RNA (379 nucleotides) under uncultured eukaryote. Its description in RNAcentral is "partial 18S ribosomal RNA". It matches the Rfam family "Eukaryotic small subunit ribosomal RNA", at positions 592 to 976 of the family's 1831-position model. The record is from RNAcentral.
CAAUAGCGUAUAUUUAAGUUGUUGCAGUUAAAAAGCUCGUAGUUGGAUUUCGGAUGGGACUUGCCGGUCCGUCGUUUCGAUGUGCACUGGCCAGUCCUAUCUUGUUGUCGGGGACUAGCUCCUGGGCUUCACUGUCCGGGACUAGGAGCUGACGAGGUUACUUUGAGUAAAUUAGAGUGUUCAAAGCAAGCCUACGCUCUGAAUACAUUAGCAUGGAAUAACACGAUAGGACUCUGGCUUAUCUUGUUGGUCUGUGAGACCAGAGUAAUGAUUAAGAGGGACAGUCGGGGGCAUUCGUAUUUCAUUGUCAGAGGUGAAAUUCUUGGAUUUAUGAAAGACGAACUACUGCGAAAGCAUUUACCAAGGAUGUUUUCAUUAA